RNAcentral lists this ribosomal RNA (254 nucleotides) under uncultured bacterium. RNAcentral's name for it is "partial 16S ribosomal RNA". It matches the Rfam family "Bacterial small subunit ribosomal RNA", at positions 524 to 776 of the family's 1533-position model. The record is from RNAcentral.
UACGGGGGGGGCAAGCGUUGUUCGGAAUUACUGGGCGUAAAGGGCGCGUAGGCGGCCACCGCAAGUCAGUUGUGAAAGCUCUGGGCUUAACCCAGAAAGGUCAACUGAUACUGCGGGGCUAGAGUGCAGAAGGGGCAACUGGAAUUCUCGGUGUAGCGGUGAAAUGCGUAGAUAUCGAGAGGAACACCUGCGGCGAAGGCGGGUUGCUGGGCUGACACUGACGCUGAAGUGCGAAAGCUAGGGGAGCGAACGGG